CCGUCUCAAAAAAAAAAAAAAAAAAAAAUUCACAUGCUAUUCAGUACCAAUGAGCGUGUCCCUGACGUGGGUGCUCACAGACCACAGGUGGGAGCACACCAGGAGUGGGUGUUCCGAAGAGGAAGGUAACGCUUCCACCGAGAGCAGUAAAACAUUCAGACUAUUCAACUCAGAAAUUCCACUCCCAACAAUCACCAAAGGAAACCAGAGCUAAGCGGAAUAUUCACACACAAGGAGCAGUCCCCACAGAAUACAGAAUGGGCAACCUGCAUGCUCACCCACUGCCAGCCAGCGGUGGCACACCCAGAGCGGAGCAGCUGCAGCCACUCAAAUAUUAAGUUUUUAAUGACAACAGACAACAUUUAUGGUGUAAUUUAUACGAUGGCUUCGAUUACAGUGGAGAAACCAUGCAUGGGGAAUGGAUGAUUUUCCUUCUCUUCCUCUGCCUCGUACUUUCCUCCCACUCACCUACCAAACAAUCAUUAGACCCACAACAAAGGGGGCGUGAAAGAAAAAGCCUCCAAGUCCUGACAGGACGACAAAACCAGGCCUUGGAGGACGCCAGACCCGACGUGGCCAUUCCCCCCGCAUGGCAGCCAGAGCUCCCGCUGAGGGAGAAACCUGGAUUCCCUGGCCCUGAGGACCCAGGUGGGCGCUGCACUCUCUGAUGCAGAAGCAGGAGUCCCCAGGGCUCCCUGCAGCCCAGGUUUUACGGAUGAAGUGCCUAGGACAGGAAGCGCUGGCUUGAAGACCACCACAGCAGCACAGCAGAAAUGAUCUCCCAAGCCAGAGGACCGUCUAAAAUGAUCCUGUCACCAAACCAUUUGUAAGUUUGCCUUAUCAUGUGUCUGCUUUUAAAAAAGGACUUUUUUUUAAAAAAAAUCUCUUUUUAGUGAAAAUCUAGGAGCAUCUUAACCACAGAUUCCCUUCUCAUCGUAACCAAAGGACUCUCUAGGCAAUGCAGGUGGCAGUGACACCCCCAGCCCGGUCCCCAGGUCCUGUUCAUUGGCCCCAGUCACAUGCUCUGGGUAACAUCUGUCCCCAUCACAGCAGAUGAGGGCUUGUCCCUUGAUCUCAAAGAAGAAAGGGAUUAUGCAGGUAGGGUGGGAACUGUCGUGUGCCACAGAAACAAAGGCUCUCAUCUAAGCCCACCCCCGCCUGGUCUGCCUCACCAAAGAGCCCCCCAGGUUCUCAGGGAACAGCAUGACACUCAAGGCCAACUCUGUGAACUUGAGUCACAGAGAAAGGGCGGGGACAGAGCCCAGAUCCUGCAGAGCCCUGGAAGAAAAAACAUUCUUACGGUGCCAGCAAGAGGGCAGUGCCUACUCAGCAUCAGGCCACAGCAGUGCCAAUGCACUGUGCAGGUGCCAGGGCGGCAGAUGGGAGAGCAGUUGAGGCGCCUAAGGCAACAGGGGAGUCCAGGAACAGAAAGCCAGGGAAGGCUUCCUGGAGGAAGGGGCAUCUGAGCAGAGACUGAAGGGAGGGGAGGAGCAGGCAGAACAGUGGAAGAGGAGAGCAGGCACGCCAGGUGGAGGGCACACAGGCCUAGCACCAGGCGGAUUUCCGGAGGCUGAGAAGGCUUCAGGAUCACGGAGGGCAGGUCAAAGGCGAGGCUGCAGGCACUGAGAGGGCACAUCACGAACCUGCGGGCUCCUGCGCCAACCCUCCUGCAAGGAAGCAUUGUCUCUGUAGGCCAAUGUCACAGAGGCUUCGAGCCCACUGAGGGCUCCAGAGAGGCUCUGGUGCAGAGAGGAUGUGAGCUGGGCCCGGGACCCCGGCCAAGGAGGCCCAGAUGCCACACUUGGGCUCCAGAUGCCCUCCAUGGCUCCAAAUGAAGCCUACAUGAUCUCAGGGACAUUUCCAGGGUGGCCCAGGCAAGACCUUAACCACGCCUCCUCCUGUGUUGCCUUCAGGCAGAUGGGAAGAGGAAGGGGGGAGGUUCUCGCUCUGGAGCACCGUCCGGACCCUCUGAGCGACAGCAGAGCAUGGGGUGCUGAGACAUUCUAACCGAGUGGUCCCCGGAAUGGCCGGCUAUUUGGCUGCUGCCUGGGGAUGGCCACAGCUCUUCAAGGCCAGCCAGCAAACGCCCUUCCAGGACAGUCUUAUAAGCACCCUGGCUGAUGCUGGCGGAUGAGGCAGCCGCCACAGUGAAUACAGGACCGAAGAGGGACCCGCCAACGCUCUGCUCACACUUGUUUCUCUCUACCAAGGCAGCCAAGCACUAACAGCCACUAGAAGUUCCAAACCAUAUUCCAGGAAGAUGUCAAAAUCCUGUUCAUCUCCAUGUGUCACCUGAGUGUACGCCCAGCUGAGAGCAGCCCAGGCUGAUGCUGUGCAAUGGGGAGGCUGGCAGCUGGGAAGAGCCCCACCUCUCUUACGUGCACCACAGGCCCACUGAGGCCCUCACAAACCGCGGCACGGGAUGGGAGGGGCUUGGUGGAGAGGUUCCAGGAGCCAGCCUUGGGCAGCGAGGUGGGCAGAGACAGGAGGAAAAGAGGGUCUCAGUCCCCAGAGAACACGGAGAGGGCAGUGCAGAGUCAGAGUGAAGACACCGCAGGAGGGCCAGGGUGACACCUGAGUCUCCUGACACCAAGCCCACUUAACACCAGGCACCCCAGCAGGGAUGGGCACUGCCCCUGAUAGAGAGUAGCUGGGUCCCUGGGCAGAUGGGGGAAGCGCAUCCCAACCGCCACAGCACAGCGGCUUAGCCCAGCCCCAGCCUGGGCCAGAGGACUCAGGUGGCGGGGUAGCACUCAGCAGGUGGACCUCGGUGCAGCUCGGCCCUGCCAGCACAAAGCCAAGAUUACCUUGGCCUCCUGAGGAAGCUCAUUAAAAAGGCAAUCUACCUAGUGCCUGCAACAGAAAUAAAGGGAGUGGAGGCGGAGAAGAGGGACUCGGGGGGCAGGAUGCUGUCACCUGCCUGGUAGCACAACCCACUUCCAGAGUGGGCGGCAGAGGGGCAUCCUGAAGGCCCUGGAAGCCCCUCCCAACCCCACCGCAUGCUGCUGAGCUAGCAGUUUCCAGGCUGGCAGCCCACCUCCGCGAGAGGCAUCUGUGUUUUCCGUUCUUGCUCCACACAUGCUCCCUGGGCAGGGGGAGCCAGGCCGCCCUGGCGCCCCAUCAGCCCCACGUGGUCCUCCCACUCUCAUGGACAAACUCCAGAGACAGGAGGCCAAGGCCCUUCACCGUGGGGACCCACAGACAUGCGGGGCUGCAGGGAGAGUGUGCUGGUUGCAAUCUAGGGCUGAGGUGGCCUCUGCUGAGCAGGCUGGCUUCAAAGGCUCCGGCUUCUUGGCAGCCCGAAGCUUCCACGCACUCCUCUUAGGCUGCCGUUCCAAGUCCCUCUGGCAAAGGGGGUGGCCCCCACCCUCUUACCCGCCACAGGUAGGGAGGCGCCUGUUGGUACUGGUCAGUGACCAAUUCUGGAAGCCUACUGCUCUGGCUGGCAGAAAGGCGGUGGGGGCAUGGCGGCAGUCCCAGGCACAGCUCAGUCUAGCAUAGAGCGUCUGGACCGGGGCUGGGGGGCCCUGUAGCAGGAACGUGCAUCUGUGCAAAGCAGACCAAGUGCUGGGCCGGAAGUAAUCCUUCAUGGGCCCUAGACAGGCAGUUCUGUGACCACCAAGUGUAGACUGUGGCCGUAGGGAGCUCAGAACAUCACCUCCCAGGCUGGGAGCUGCUGUGCGUGCGUGCGUGUGUGUGUGUGUGUGUGUGUGUGUGUAUACGGUGGGGGGUGGGGGGAGAAAGGAAAGUGGGAAGAUGCUCCUCCAACUCUAGGACCCCCAUUUCCUGACAGUCUGAGAAAGACCACAGAGCAAGGACUGAGGGCUGUGCAGGGGAGCAGUGACUUGGACUCUGCUCAGCUCCAGGCUGGCCGGACCUUCCAGGCUCCCCGAGCACACCUGAGAGCCUGCAGCCUCUGGACCCAAGAGUGCCAGCCAACAGGCCUACAACCACCCAGCCUCCUAUCACCAGCCUGUCUGCAAACUCAACCCGAAGGCAAAUUUGGAAGAGAAACAAAAGGCAGACAAGAAGCCCUGCUCCUGGCCCUUCCCAGCCCAGACUUUGGAGAGGAAGGCCCCGAAUAACCCAACUUUAACUGCUGGAAAUCUAGCAGCACCCCAGGUUCCCCUACAAACGGCUUCCCAGGAGAGCUGCCCCGGCACCCCUCCCAUGCCCUGUGUCCUCACGCAGCUCAGCUCUGUGCUCCCCAACUCCCGCAGACAUGGGGCUGGGGGACCCCAAGAAAGAGGUGUGGCAGCACAGGUUCCCCGGACCAGCUCAGCUACCCCCAUCCUGGCUGGUGGCUUCCUGGGGAAGGUGGUCCCCCAUCGGCUGGCUUUUGUUCCUCUCUUCAGGCAAGCUUGUGCCUGGAAGAAUUUGGCUGGAAGGCCCCACUGGGAGGACAGGCGGUACUGCCUCCUCCCCGCCCCCAGCCCCAGGUCAACAGGGCCUUUGUUCUACCUGCACACACCGGCAGGCAGGCGGGCAGAGCCAGCCCCCUUCCCUGGCAGCUCCCCCACCCUCUGAAGGCAGGCACUCCAGGCACAGGGGCGGCACCUCACUACUCUCCCUUGCACUUUUGGGACCACAGUACCGAAGCGGCAAGGGGAAGCCAACACUCCAGGUGGGUCACGCACACACCCAGAAGCCCACGUCCCCAAGUCCGGCGGCCCAGACAUCGCGGCGCACAGCAGUUACAUGAUAUCUGAGGAGGCAGCAAUCAUCCUGAAAUCUUGAGGUAGCAAGGACAAUACUUAAAAAUGAUUUGCUAAAGGAGGCCAAGUGCAGUGAUGACAACCUGGUCCCUAGAUGCCACGGAUGAAUGGUUGAGCCAAUGCCAACAGAAGCCCACCUCUAAACUGAGCACUUGCUGAUGCCAUGAGGCAUGACUGUCAAGAGGACAGUCGAGCAGACCUGCUAAGAGGUGCAUACAACAAGGAACUGAGGUGUCUUCCCAUCACGUCCUGUGAGUGAGCCAUCUUAGAAGUGAAUCCUAUAGCCCCAGUUGAGCCUUCAGAUGACAGCAGCCCUGGCUAACAUCUUGACUGAAACCUUGUGAGAGACCAGAACCACCCAGACAAGCCACUCCUGGCUUUCUGACCUACACAAACCUUGAAAUAAUAAGUGUAUAUUGUUUUAGGCUACUAUACUUUGAGCAUAAUUUGUUAUGCAACACUAGAUAACUAACACACUACCUUUACCCACCAGAAUGGCUAAUAUUAAGAAGACUGAUAGUAACAAGUGUUGAUGAGAAUGUGGAGCUACUGGAACUCUUACAGUCUGCUGCUGGAAAUGUAAAUUGGAACAACCAUUUUGGGAAACAAUUUGGUAUUAUUUCUAUUACUUUCUAAAUAAUUGAAGGUAUGCAUUUCUGAUGACCCAUCCCUGAUGACCUGGCAAUCACACUUAUGGGAAUAUACCCAAUGGAAAGGUGUAUGUGUAAAUGUGCAUAUCAGGAUACAUAUAUAGAACAUUGCUAACAGCAUUAUUUAUAAUAGCCCCAAGCAAAAAAAGGACCAAAAUUUCAUUCACAGUUCAUUCUUACAAUGGAAUACUGUAAGCUAUGAAAAUUAAUGAAUUAUGACUAUACACAAUACCAGGAAUAGGUCUCAGAAGCAUAAUUCUAGUGAAAGCAGAGUCCAUAUUAUAUAAUUCUAUUUAAAUGAAGUUAUUUUUGGUGAGGUGGACACAGAAGGGUCCAUGUUAUAUAAUUCUAUUUAAAUGAAGUUCCUUUUGGUGAGGUGGAGGGGCCCCAGGGAGUUAGCCUCCCACCUCACCAAAUAAGACUUCAUGUCGUAUUUUUUACCUAGCUGGUGGUUACAUGGCUGUUUACUACAUGGUCUGCACAUUUUUGUUUUGUGUCUUUUUGUGUAAAUUUAUACCUUUAAAAUGAUUUUUUAUAAUCAUUUUAAAAUGAUUAUAAAAAAAUUUAUACUUUUACAAAACCACACAACCCAACAGCAUAACACCAAACACCACAGUCCCAUGAGUCUGUCUUAACAGCCCUCAGAGUGGGCUCAGCAGAGCAUCCUGGUGUGAGUUCAGUGGGUGCCGUUUUAUCAAGGCCAAACCAUGCAGUUGACCUGUGGUGCUCUAGAGGGCAUGACCUUCAGGAGUCCAUGGAAUGUGUGUUUCCUGGGUAAUUCUCCAUGAAAAAUAUUGCUUUAAUUAAAACUGGAGAACAGAGAGUUUGAGGUAACGUUCUCUGGUGAUAGCCUGACGUCCUGUUCCUCAGCUCGGCUGACUCAAAGCCAGUUGCUACUGUUUGAGUGUUUGUCCCCUCUAAAACUCAUGUUGAGGCUGGGUGUGGUGGCCCAUGCCUAUAAUCCCAGCACUUUGGGAGGCUGA
Molecule: RNA transcript, 6348 nt
Organism: Cercocebus atys (sooty mangabey)
Lineage: Eukaryota; Metazoa; Chordata; Mammalia; Primates; Cercopithecidae
Exons: 3
Source: RefSeq, a predicted model, not a curated record